This 73-nucleotide transfer RNA is filed under the name Phytophthora lateralis. Its description in RNAcentral is "tRNA-Arg". It matches the Rfam family "tRNA". From Rfam's summary of the family: Transfer RNA (tRNA) molecules are approximately 80 nucleotides in length. Their secondary structure includes four short double-helical elements and three loops (D, anti-codon, and T loops). Further hydrogen bonds mediate the characteristic L-shaped molecular structure. tRNAs have two regions of fundamental functional importance: the anti-codon, which is responsible for specific mRNA codon recognition, and the 3' end, to which the tRNAs corresponding amino acid is attached (by aminoacyl-tRNA synthetases). tRNAs cope with the degeneracy of the genetic code in two manners: having more than one tRNA (with a specific anti-codon) for a particular amino acid; and 'wobble' base-pairing, i.e. permitting non-standard base-pairing at the 3rd anti-codon position. RNAcentral also lists the same sequence under 1 other name. Lineage: Eukaryota; Oomycota; Peronosporomycetes; Peronosporales; Peronosporaceae. The record is from RNAcentral.
ACAACCUUAACUUAAUUGGUCGAGUAUAAGCCUUCUAAGCUUCAAAAUCUUGGUUCGAAUCCAAGAGGUUGUA